CGGGAAGCGGCUUUUCCGCCCGACGACCGGCCGGGCCGUCGUUUCACAGAGAUCGUUGAUCACAAAGGGUUUGGCUGGGUUGUGUUGAGUGGGCUUCAUUUGUUGGUUUGGGAUAAACAGGUAAUGUGCGGCCGGUCUGCACAAAACCCUUUCCCUGUGCCUGAGCGGUUAAUGUUAUUCCCUAACUAUUUCGGCAGGAUGUUAAAAUUCCGUAACUAUUUCUGCGAGAGACUGGAUGCGAUAAAGGCUGCUGAAGUAAAAUAAAGGCUUAUCCCUGUCGAUUAAAAGAAUAAAUGAAGCUUCACUUCUGCUUCUUGUCAAGGCGGAUUUUUAAAAUACUUCAGUUGUCUUCGUACUGCCUCAGUAUAAGGUUCUAAGCAAUGUUAAGUGUACUUGUGUGGCUCUGCAUACCCAGCCCUUUUUGGGAGGGUUAGCACACUGCCAGUUCAGCUCUCUGAAGUCACUUUGAUGGUGACAAGGCUGUUGCAAGAGGAGGGCAGCAUGGCUGAUGUGCCCGAGAGCAAGACAGCAGGGAGCGAGCAGGACUGUCCCUUUCAGGGGCAGCUUUAAGGCCAUUUUCCAAGACUACUGGAUUAGGUGUAUGUUGUACGGACAGACCAGCGUUAGUGUGGCUUGCAAUAUCCUUUGCAAAGCAUUCAUCUUGUAUUACAGUGCCUGCAAUGAUAGACCACAGCUUGUCUGAGACUGAGGAAAAAACACAAAAAAGCCCGCAAACCAGAAACCCUUUCAACAAAAGAGCAGUAGAUGUUCAGGACACCUGCUGUUACAAGAGAUCUUCCUACAGCAAUUAAUUAGUUCAUAGCUGCUGAUAUCUAUAUUCUGGAAGUAAAUGCUCAAGGAAUUACUGGCUUAAACUGGCUUUAAAUUGGAAUCACCUGGAAAAAAUGUGCAACACUUGGAAAAUCUAUUUGGUAGAGGCCUGGGGAGGUUUCCCAAAAGGAUACAGAUCUGAAGGUAGGUAAUUAAUGAACUAGGCCUUGAAUACUGGUAGCUUACCUUUUAUUGUCUUGCAUUAGAAUUUU
Molecule: long non-coding RNA, 1043 nt
Filed under: Struthio camelus australis
Lineage: Eukaryota; Metazoa; Chordata; Aves; Struthioniformes; Struthionidae
Description: lncRNA (ENSSCUG00000009882.1)
Source: RNAcentral